Molecule: ribosomal RNA, 153 nt
Filed under: uncultured bacterium
Lineage: Bacteria
Description: partial 16S ribosomal RNA
Rfam family: Bacterial small subunit ribosomal RNA
Source: RNAcentral
CCUACGGGAGGCAGCAGUAGGGAAUAUUGGACAAUGGGCGAAAGCCUGAUCCAGCCAUGCCGCGUGAGUGAUGAAGGCCUUAGGGUUGUAAAGCUCUUUCAGCGGGGAAGAUAAUGACGGUACCCGCAGAAGAAGCCCCGGCUAACUUCGUGC